RNAcentral lists this unclassified non-coding RNA (847 nucleotides) under Leishmania donovani. RNAcentral describes it as "gene:unknown". Lineage: Eukaryota; Euglenozoa; Kinetoplastea; Trypanosomatida; Trypanosomatidae. The record is from RNAcentral.
GUUUCGACUGCUCUUCCCUGUGGGUCGCCUUCCAUGAGCAAGCACUUCUUCGACAACGACGACGACUGUGACUGCCCACGGCUGUGAUGAGUCGUCGUCGUCGUUGUAAUAUGAUCUCUGCGACUGACUCUUCUAUCGCUUCUCGGGUUUUGUUUUUGUUUUUUGUUUGCUGGCUUUUUCUCUCUCCUCACGCCCUGCGGCCUUUUCUUGUUGUUGGCGGAGGGAGGGAGAGGUUCUUGUCCCUUGCUCUUCGUUGUUUGUCGUGUGAUGUCAGCGGUGCGUAGCGUCCUUCUUAGUGACGAUGAAGACAAACGCCCGUAUACGCCAAGCGAGUGAGCGGUAGACAAGCAAAGAAGGAAGGCGGAAGGACUCUUCAAUGGUAAUGUGUGGCCACCCCCCCCACCAGCCCACCCACCCACCCACCCCCCCCCACACACACUCACACGUGUAUGGAGAGGGGGAGGGGGCAAGGGACGACGCAUGAGAAUAAAGGAACCAACAAAAUGUUCUUUAUUUUUUUUGAUUUGUAUAGAGAAAAAGACGGGAAAAAAGCGAAAGGAUUCGAAAAGCCGCGUGGACGCCAGCCCUGCAGACGCCCGUGACUUCUCUUGGUUUGGACUAGAGUCCUCUCUUCCUCACUCUCCGUCUCCCUCGCGCUGGCUCAUCGUUCUCUGCGCCUGGUCGGGCAUCCGUGCGCAUGCGGAGAGAGAGAGGAUGGCAACGCGCCACGCCGUGUGUGUGCGUGCGCGCGCAAGCCAGCUCUCUUUUUAUCCUUUCAAGCUCCCUCCCUGCCCAGUAGCCUGGGUUGAUGGACGUGGAGGACACCUGCUCUCCUCCUUCGUUGUAG